GAUGAACGCUGGCGGCGCGCCUAACACAUGCAAGUCGAACGAUUAAAGCACCUUCGGGUGUGUAUAAAGUGGCGAACGGCUGAGUAACACGUGGGCAACCUGCCCCUUUCAUUGGGAUAGCCACGGGAAACCGUGGAUAAUACCGAAUACUUCGAGACUUCCGCAUGGAAGACUCGAGAAAGCUCCGGCGGAGAGGGAUGGGCCCGCGGCCUGUUAGCUUGUUGGUGGGGUAACGGCCUACCAAGGCAAUGAUGGGUAGCUGGGUUGAGAGACCGACCAGCCAGAUUGGGACUGAGACACGGCCCAGACUCCUACGGGAGGCAGCAGUGGGGAAUCUUGCACAAUGGGCGAAAGCCUGAUGCAGCGACGCCGCGUGCGGGAUGAAGGCCUUCGGGUUGUAAACCGCUUUCAGCAGGGACGAGGCGAAAGUGACGGUACCUGCAGAAGAAGCCCCGGCUAACUACGU
This 466-nucleotide ribosomal RNA is filed under the name uncultured bacterium. RNAcentral describes it as "partial 16S ribosomal RNA". It matches the Rfam family "Bacterial small subunit ribosomal RNA", at positions 28 to 506 of the family's 1533-position model. The record is from RNAcentral.